Molecule: ribosomal RNA, 373 nt
Filed under: uncultured bacterium
Lineage: Bacteria
Description: bacterial SSU rRNA
Rfam family: Bacterial small subunit ribosomal RNA
Source: RNAcentral
AUACGUAGGGGGCAAGCGUUAUCCGGAAUUACUGGGUGUAAAGGGAGAGUAGGCGGCAUGGUAAGUUAGAUGUGAAAGCCCGGGGCUUAACCUCGGGAUUGCAUUUAAAACUAUCAAGCUAGAGUACAGGAGAGGUAAGUGGAAUUCCUAGUGUAGCGGUGAAAUGCGUAGAUAUUAGGAAGAACAUCAGUGGCGAAGGCGACUUACUGGACUGAAACUGACGCUGAGGCUCGAAAGCGUGGGGAGCGAACAGGAUUAGAUACCCUGGUAGUCCACGCCGUAAACGAUGAGUGCUAGGUGUCGGGGGGGAACCCUCGGUGCCGCCGUUAACACAAUAAGUACCCCGCCUGGGGAGUACGGUCGCAAGAUUAAA